AUGUGGUUAAUUCGAAGCAACGCGAAGAACUUACCUGGCCUUGACAUGCUGAGAACUUUCCAGAGAUGGAUUGGUGCCUUCGGGAACUCAGACACAGGUGCUGCAUGGCUGUCGUCAGCUCGUGCCGUGAGAUGUUGGGUUAAGUCCCGUAACGAGCGCAACCCUUGUCCUUAGUUACCAGCACGUUAUGGUGGGCACUCUAAGGAGACUGCCGGUGACAAACCGGAGGAAGGUGGGGAUGACGUCAAGUCAUCAUGGCCCUUACGGCCAGGGCUACACACGUGACUACAAUGGGGGGUACAGAGGGUUGCCAAGCCGCGAGGUGGAGCUAAUCCCAUAAAACCUCUCGUAGUCCGGAUUGGAGUCUGCAACUCGACUGCGUGAAGUCGGAAUCGCUAGUAAUCGUGAAUCAGAAUGUCACGGUGAAUACGUUCCCGGGCCUU
This 443-nucleotide ribosomal RNA is filed under the name uncultured Pseudomonas sp. RNAcentral describes it as "bacterial SSU rRNA". It matches the Rfam family "Bacterial small subunit ribosomal RNA", at positions 939 to 1382 of the family's 1533-position model. The record is from RNAcentral. Lineage: Bacteria; Pseudomonadati; Pseudomonadota; Gammaproteobacteria; Pseudomonadales; Pseudomonadaceae.